This is a long non-coding RNA of Corticium candelabrum, 937 nucleotides long. RefSeq lists it as uncharacterized. The record is from RefSeq and is a predicted model, not a curated record. NCBI's taxonomy places the organism in Eukaryota, Metazoa, Porifera, Homoscleromorpha, Homosclerophorida, Plakinidae. The transcript is spliced from 3 exons.
AAUAGAUGACAGAACACAAAUCGCUGCAGAACAUCCUUGUCACAUUGCUCCUACAAUAGCUCCAAUACCACCACCUCCAACAGCAAAGUUAAUUCAGAGACAAAGUAGUCGUGCAGGAGAGGCAGCAUUGUAGAAGACUGUGGCAUCAAGACUAUAGAUACCCAAUGUGGCAGCGGAAGGUGGUGGUGGAAGGUGGUGGAAGGUGGUGGUGGUAGUUGGGGUCACGUAAACAUUUACAAUUCUUGUCGAUGCUGUAUAAUUUUUUUGUGUUAACAGACAGAAUCAACAUGAAGAGAAUUAACUUACUAAAUUAAUUACUCCUGUAACCCAUGUAAUCCCCUGUAGGAGACGGAUAACAGUGCCGUAUGCAGCACACAGCACAAGAAGGAGCAACUCGACGGUUUCCCCGUCCAAGGUAGCCAUAUUGGCCCAACACAUACUGUCUGUAUGCUGCUUUCCGAUAGCCGGCAGAAGAAUAGUCUGGACGCAGGUUUAAUACGUCAGCACGAUAUCUAAUGUUAAGUUGAAGAACAUCUGGAUCUAGGACCGUUGAACGGAAAUACUGCUGGGUACUGGUACAGUUAACAAGGCCACAACACACGUUCUCCCUGGCUGUUGGCAUUUCUCUGCAUCGCCCACACUUGCACCAAUUUGGUGGAGAUGGGUUGGGUGGCCCAGCAAAUGGAUGGUCUGGUUGUUCCAAGCUUGUUACAGGUAGCUCAGAAAAUUCUUGUGCAAGUGGCAAGAGAGACCUAUGUUGUAAGAGAAAUUGUACCAGUAGGCCUUUUGUCUGCUCUCCACAGUCAACAGCAUAUAAAUGGAAUAUCUAUUGCCACAUGACCAAGACCAUGGCAGAAAGAACUAAAUCUACACAGCAGUUCUUGUGAAUAGACAAAAGCUUGGUCACCAUAAUGCACCACCACCACCACCACCACCA